GACGAACGCUGGCGGCGUGCUUAACACAUGCAAGUCGAGCGAGGCCCUUCCUUCGGGAGGGUGUCCUAGCGGCGAACGGGUGAGUAACACGUGGGCAACCUGCCCUCAGCUCUGGGAUAACUCCAAGAAAUUGGGGCUAAUACCGGAUAUGACUGCUGACCGCAUGGUCUGGUGGUGGAAAGAUUUAUCGGCUGGGGAUGGGCCCGCGGCCUAUCAGCUUGUUGGUGGGGUAGUGGCCUACCAAGGCGACGACGGGUAGCCGGCCUGAGAGGGUGACCGGCCACACUGGGACUGAGACACGGCCCAGACUCCUACGGGAGGCAGCAGUGGGGAAUAUUGCGCAAUGGGCGGAAGCCUGACGCAGCGACGCCGCGUGGGGAUGACGGCCUCGGUGUAA
This 397-nucleotide ribosomal RNA is filed under the name uncultured bacterium. RNAcentral describes it as "bacterial SSU rRNA". It matches the Rfam family "Bacterial small subunit ribosomal RNA", at positions 28 to 428 of the family's 1533-position model. The record is from RNAcentral.